CGAGAUUAACGAAUUUAAAACAACUCUUAAUUACGUAUAUAAUUAACUGUUUGCUUUUCAAAGGCACAGUUUGGCGCCGUGGGUGGUGUGUACUACACCAGCGCCAUUACGGCGACAUACGGAACCCACAGAACCCUUUCCCGCCUGUAAUGCCAGUAUUGCUUCCAGUUCGCGCAUGUGCAUCGAAAAAAAUUAAACGUGUAGUUCUGUAACUACAGGAAACAAUGCGUGGUCCAAAUUUUUUUAUUCUUUUAUCAUUCUUCGGGGUGAUUAAGGGUACCAGCUUUAUGAUCGUAUUACAUACUUUAUUGACGCAAAAAUCAGUGCGCAUGCGCGAGCUGGAAGCAUACUGGCAUCACAGCUUCCCGCCACUUUCCGCCAUUAUGGAGGCAAACUAGACGCCUACGCGUCCGUUUUUACAGUAAAAGAUUAAUUAUGUGUUUAAUCAUGUGUGAUUACGCGAAUACUUGUUUAACUUUGUUUGCUAAUUUCUAAUUAUGACCGAGUUCAACAGAGAGAGAGAGAGAGAGAGAAGAUUCCUGAUGAUUUCCCUUGGUUACCAAGUAUGAAAAGUGUAGAGUGGGUCUACUUCAACGGUGCUCUUUUCAGGGUAACACGGUCAAUCAGUGAAUGGAAAGAUGGUCAAGUGGACAACAAUUCUUGAUGUCGGCAGGUAUCAAUGAGUGAAUAUUUUGGCCAUCAGUAGCAUUCACAUGAAGCAUGUCUGAUUGUCGUCGGUUUGGAACAUCAGGCUGAAGGGCUGGAUAGAUGGGUACGUCAGUUGGUAGAGCUUAGCUAACGAUGGGACUGAUAAGGAACAUUCUUUAAUUGAUAUUCUCUAGUUAUUAUGAACGUUGACACACAGAUUGGGCCAUCAAAAAUAGUAAACAUACAUGUAUAUAUUUUUGUAUAUUAAGACGGUUUGUUUCUAUUUGAUCGAUCCGUGUGUAUUGCAAUAUUCAUUUGAAAGAGGUCACGAUACUUUGAGAUAGAAACACAGGAUGAUGAAGAAUAGUUAUUCAACAAAAUAACUGAUUAGAAUUAGAAUUCUAUUAGAAUUAGAAAAUUGUUUUCUUGGAAAGUUGAGUUUUCGCUUACACAGUCUCCUCUAUUUGCAGCCUUUAAUUAUGGCUAAAUUAUUUCUAAAAGGAAAGGCGUUUCGGAAUACUAGAUGAGGACUGGAUAGAUCAGUUGCUAGAAUAGGAUCCGGGGAAAGGAAGAUUCAUAUUCAAAAAACAACAUUAAAUUCACAUUAGGCACGUGACAUUAAAUGUCGAUUUUCGAGUGCAAUUUCCAUGAGAAGUAGGUCGUAAACUCCCGUUACGAGAAUUGGUAAGGCGAAGAGUCACCGUGGAAGA
Hylaeus volcanicus is the source of this 1358-nucleotide long non-coding RNA. RefSeq lists it as uncharacterized. The transcript is spliced from 3 exons. The record is from RefSeq and is a predicted model, not a curated record. Lineage: Eukaryota; Metazoa; Arthropoda; Insecta; Hymenoptera; Colletidae.